Molecule: ribosomal RNA, 434 nt
Filed under: uncultured bacterium
Lineage: Bacteria
Description: partial 16S ribosomal RNA
Rfam family: Bacterial small subunit ribosomal RNA
Source: RNAcentral
GGCGAACGCUGGCGGCAGGCCUAACACAUGCAAGUCGAACGAACCUUUCGGGGUUAGUGGCGGACGGGUGAGUAACACGUGGGAACGUGCCUUUAGGUUCGGAAUAACUCAGGGAAACUUGUGCUAAUACCGAAUGUGCCCUUCGGGGGAAAGAUUUAUCGCCUUUAGAGCGGCCCGCGUCUGAUUAGCUAGUUGGUUGAGGUAAUGGCUCACCAAGGCGACGAUCAGUAGCUGGUCUGAGAGGAUGAUCAGCCACAUUGGGACUGAGACACGGCCCAAACUCCUACGGGAGGCAGCAGUGGGGAAUCUUGCGCAAUGGGCGAAAGCCUGACGCAGCCAUGCCGCGUGAAUGAUGAAGGUCUUAGGAUUGUAAAAUUUUUUCACCGGGGACGAUAAUGACGGUACCCGGAGAAGAAGCCCCGGCUAACUUCGUG